Molecule: long non-coding RNA, 247 nt
Organism: Cydia amplana
Lineage: Eukaryota; Metazoa; Arthropoda; Insecta; Lepidoptera; Tortricidae
Exons: 5
Source: RefSeq, a predicted model, not a curated record
CAGGGUCCACCAGGAAUAUACGGGGACAAAGGAGAAAUUGGAUUGCCGGGCCUUCAAGGAAAACAAGGAAAACCGGGAAACGAGGGUGUCAAAGGAGACAUGGGUCAAAAAGGAGAAAGAGGAGAAGAGGGAAAAAAAGGUGACAAAGGCAAUGAUGGUUUACCAGGAUUAAAAGGGGAGAUGGGUGAUCCAGGUUUACUGGGCCCUCCGGGCAUAAAAGGAGACAAGGGAGAAAAAGGGUCUGAAG